GAGCGGCGGACGGGUGAGUAACGCGUAGGAAUGUACCCCAAAGUGAGGGAUAAGCCAAAGAAAUUUGGUCUAAUACCGCAUAUGGUCUUCGGAUUAAAGCCUUCGGGCGCUUUGGGAACAGCCUGCGUUGGAUUAGCUAGUUGGUAAGGUAAAAGCUUACCAAGGCGAUGAUCCAUAACUGGUUUGAGAGGAUGACCAGUCACACUGGAACUGAGACACGGUCCAGACUCCUACGGGAGGCAGCAGUAGGGAAUUUUCCACAAUGGACGAAAGUCUGAUGGAGCAACGCCGCGUGCAGGAUGAAGGUUUUCGGAUCGUAAACUGCUUUUCUGUCUGACGAAUAUGACGGUAAGACAGGAAUAAGGAUCGGCUAACUCCGUGCCAGCAGCCGCGGUCAUACGGAGGAUCCAAGCGUUAUUCGGAGUAACUGGGCGUAAAGAGUUGCGUAGGCGGUUUAUUAAGUGAGGUGUGAAACCCAAGGGCUCAACCCUUGAACUGCAUUUCAAACUGGUAGACUUGAGUAUGUGAGAGGAAGCUGGAAUUCCAGGUGUAGGAGUGAAAUCCGUAGAUAUCUGGAGGAACACCAAUGGCGAAGGCAGGCUUCUGGCACAUCACUGACGCUGAGGCACGAAAGCGUGGGGAGCGAACGGGAUUAGAUACCCCGGUAGUCCACGCCGUAAACGAUGGAUACUAGCUGUUUGGGGUAUCGACCCCCUGAGUAGCGAAGCUAACGCGCUAAGUAUCCCGCCUGGGGAGUACGGUCGCAAGAUUAAAACUCAAAUGAAUUGACGGGGACCCGCACAAGCGGUGGAGCGUGUUGUUUAAUUGGAUGAUAAGCCUAGAACCUUACCCAGACUUGACAUCCUUGGAAUUUUUACGAAAGUAAAAAGUGCCUUUGGAACCAAGUGACAGGUGUUGCAUGGCCGUCGUCAGCUCGUGUCGUGAGAUGUUUGGUUAAGUCCAUCAACGAGCGCAACCCUUAUGAUUAGUUGGAUUUUUCUAGUCAGACUGCCUCGGUAACGGGGAGGAAGGAGGGGAUGAUGUCAGGUCCGUAUUACCCUUACGUCUGGGGCUACAAACGCGCUACAAUGGCAGGUACAAUGGGCAGCGAAGUCGCGAGAUGGAGCAAAUCCCACCAAAGCCUGUCCCAGUUCGGAUAGGAGGCUGAAACUCGCCUCCUUGAAGUCGGAAUCGCUAGUAACCGUAGGUCAGCACACUACGGUGAAUACGUUCCCGGGUCUUGUACACACCGCCCGUCAUACCAUGGAAGUCGCCAACGCCCGAAGUACGAAUUUAUUCGUCCUAAGGUGGGGGAGAUGACUGGGGUAAAGUCGUAACAAGCUA
RNAcentral lists this ribosomal RNA (1344 nucleotides) under metagenome. Its description in RNAcentral is "bacterial SSU rRNA". It matches the Rfam family "Bacterial small subunit ribosomal RNA". The record is from RNAcentral.